GGGGCUGUGGCUCAGUGGUAGAGCGCUUACCUGGCACAUGAGGCACUGGGUUCAAUCCUCAGCACCA
This 67-nucleotide transfer RNA is filed under the name Ictidomys tridecemlineatus (thirteen-lined ground squirrel). RNAcentral describes it as "Spermophilus tridecemlineatus (thirteen-lined ground squirrel) tRNA". It matches the Rfam family "tRNA". Rfam says of the family: Transfer RNA (tRNA) molecules are approximately 80 nucleotides in length. Their secondary structure includes four short double-helical elements and three loops (D, anti-codon, and T loops). The record is from Rfam by way of RNAcentral. Lineage: Eukaryota; Metazoa; Chordata; Mammalia; Rodentia; Sciuridae.